RNAcentral lists this ribosomal RNA (402 nucleotides) under uncultured bacterium. RNAcentral's name for it is "partial 16S ribosomal RNA". It matches the Rfam family "Archaeal small subunit ribosomal RNA", at positions 473 to 873 of the family's 1478-position model. The record is from RNAcentral.
ACACCGGCAGCUCAAGUGGUAGCCGCUUUUAUUGGGCCUAAAGCGUCCGUAGCCGGUCUGAUAAGUCUCUGGUGAAAUCCCGCAGCUUAACUGUGGGAAUUGCUGGAGAUACUAUCAUGACUCGAGGUCGGGAGAGGCUGGAGGUACUCCCAGGGUAGGGGUGAAAUCCUGUAAUCCUGGGAGGACCACCUGUGGCGAAGGCGUCCAGCUGGAACGAACCUGACGGUGAGGGACGAAAGCCAGGGGCGCGAACCGGAUUAGAUACCCGGGUAGUCCUGGCCGUAAACGAUGUGGACUUGGUGUUGGGAUGGCUUCGAGCUGCCCAAGUGCCGAAGGGAAGCUGUUAAGUCCACCGCCUGGGAAGUACGGCCGCAAGGCUGAAACUUAAAGGAAUUGGCGGGG